RNAcentral lists this non-coding RNA (29 nucleotides) under Homo sapiens (human). The record is from RNAcentral. Lineage: Eukaryota; Metazoa; Chordata; Mammalia; Primates; Hominidae.
UCCCUUUCUAGCCUCAUGCAUCUCAAGGG